GACGAACGCUGGCGGCGUGCUUAACACAUGCAAGUCGAGCGGUAAGGCCCUUUCGGGGGUACACGAGCGGCGAACGGGUGAGUAACACGUGGGUGACCUGCCCUCAGCUCUGGGAUAAGCCUGGGAAACCGGGUCUAAUACUGGAUAUGACUCCAUGACGCAUGUUGUGGGGUGGAAAGCCUUGUGCGGCUGAGGAUGGGGCCCGCGGCCUACCAGCUUGUUGGUGGGGUGAUGGCCUACCAAGGCGACGACGGGUAGCCGGCCUGAGAGGGCGACCGGCCACACUGGGACUGAGACACGGCCCAGACUCCUACGGGAGGCAGCAGUGGGGAAUCUUGCGCAAUGGGCGAAAGCCUGACGCAGCGACGCCGCGUGAGGGAUGACGGCCU
Molecule: ribosomal RNA, 389 nt
Filed under: uncultured bacterium
Lineage: Bacteria
Description: bacterial SSU rRNA
Rfam family: Bacterial small subunit ribosomal RNA
Source: RNAcentral